RNAcentral lists this long non-coding RNA (2470 nucleotides) under Homo sapiens (human). RNAcentral's name for it is "non-protein coding lnc-UGCG-1:1". Lineage: Eukaryota; Metazoa; Chordata; Mammalia; Primates; Hominidae. The record is from RNAcentral.
AUGGGGGUUCACCGGGUUAGUCCGGAUGGUCCCAAGCUCCUGACCUCGUGAUACAGCUGCCUCAGCCUCCCAAAGUGCUGGGAUUACAGGCGUGAGCCCCCGCGCCUGGUCCCGAGAACAUCUUUAUACUGUUUGGAUAACCCUCCUACCAGCAUCUUCCAGUGGUUAAUGAUAAGGAUCAAGAAGGGCCUCCUAAGCUAGUAGCUAUUAAUAAUUGUAAACAUGUAUUAUAUACUUAAUGCUCACACUGUGUUGAGUACUUUACAUGAUUAUCUCAUUUAGUCCUCACAACAAAUCUUUGAGGUAAGUAUUACUAUUAAUUGCAUUUGGCAGAAAAGCAAACUGAAGUUUAGUGAAGGCAAAUAACUUGCUCAAGAUGACACUGCUGGUAAGUAGCAGAGCUAGAAGGAACCUGGAAACCUGACUUCCCAGCUCAAGUGCUAAUGAUGGCAUUACUUUGAGUAUUGUUACUGGGACAUCCUCCUGAUCUACUCUAAAAAUCUAGAUCACCAACAUAUAUAUUCCUGGAUGCAGUAUUGCUAAGAACUGGUUUUAACCUCUAGAUCUGUGUUUGAGGACUCACAGAUUCAUUACUGGUCCACAUAUACCAGCAGGGCUUCUGCAUGAUACCCAGUAGGACUUUCUUAAAAUUGUGGAAAGCAUUCAGUGUAUCUUGAGAUGUACUAGUCUUAUGGAUAAUUCAUCUCUUCAGUUCUAUCCAGACCACCUCAUAAAGGAGAAUAUAUUAAGCAUUGCCAGGCUGCAUCAUCAAGCUAUGAAAAAUAGCUUGCCUCUCAAGCCUUCCCUACUUCCCCAUAUCAUUGGAAGCUUUACUUCUAUCCCUGUGGUAUCAGGGAAUAUCUUACUCCUAGAGGAGCCAGACAACAGUGACUUCCACAAUAGCCUCAUGUGGGAGUGAGAGUUAAUAACUUGAAAGAUGGCCGGGUACGGUGGCUCACACCUGUAAUCCCAGCACUUUGGGAGGCUGAGGCGGGCAGAUCACGAGGUCAAGACCAUCCUGGCCCACAUGGUGAAACCCUGUCUCUACUAAAAAUACAAAAAUUAGCUGGGCAUGGUGGCGCGCAUCUGUAGUCCCAGCUACUCGGGAGGCUGAGGCAAGGACAAUUGCUUGAAUCCGGAAGGCAGAGGUUGCAGUUAGCUGAGAUCACACCACUGCACUCCAGCCUGGCGACAGAGCAAGAUUCCAUCUCAACAAAACAAAACAAAACAAAACAAAACAAAACAAAAACUUGAAAGACUGCCCAAGAAAGGUGAAGGUUAGAUCUCAGGGGAUGAUCUUGAAGCAACUGAGACAGACCUAGAAACUUGCCUCAUAUGAUACAAGAAGACCCAGCUUCUUUGUCUCUACCCUGUAGGCACUGGGUAGACAGGUAGGUGAUAUUUUACUUCACAAACAAGGGAACUAAAAGUAUGAACAUUUCUCUGUUCCUCAUUAUCUCUGCCCUAAAAUAUUUUGGCUAUCUAGCCCCAGUUAGAGCGGACUGGCACUGUCUGGUACAGGAGGUAUGCAGCAGAUGUUCUGCAUCUGAGCUCCAUUAUGACUGUCCCCCAACAAAUCAUCCCCCAGCCAGCCCAAGGGAACGUGGAAUUCAGAGGGGAACUGUUCUAACCAGGAGCAGCCAAUUAGAUCCAGGCCAGAGAAACCCAUAUCCAGGCACUUUAUCUUUGUCCUAAAAUGAACCUAGCUAACCUCUUCAGGCUAUCCAAAACCCUGACCACUCCACAUAGAGAGACAUUUGCUAGCCUUACAUGUCACUUUCCACUGUACACAUACCAAUGACACCUGAACCAGAUAUAAAGACAGACCCACAAAGGUUCUGCUGAGCCUAAGGAUCUGCUCACCUAUUUCUGAUCCCGAAUGCCCCUGGGACAUCUUCCAGAAUGUGUGCCUCCAAAUAAAGUCUAGAAAAUUGGAGGAAAAUUUAAAUGCAGAUGAAUCGAGAAGGAAUAAAAGCCAUUAGAAAUUCUGGGAAAACAAGAAAUAUAGAAGAAAGUCACGGGGCUGGGUGUGGUAGCUCACGCCUGUAAUCCCAGCACUUUAGGAGGCCAAGUCGGGCGGAUCACCUGAGGUCAGGAGUUCGAGGCCAGCCUGGCCAACAUGGAGAAACCCUGCCUCUACUAAAAAUACAAAGAUUAGCCAGGCGUGGUGGCACAUGCCUGUAAUCCCAGCUACUCAGGAGGCUGAGCAGGAGAAUCGCUUGAACUGGAGAGGUGGAGGUUGCGGUAAGCUGAGAUCGCACCACUGCACUCCAGCAUGGGUAACAAGAGCAAAACUCCAUCUCAAAAAAAAACAAACAAAAAAAAACAAAAGUCACAACCCAAAUAUGAAGCAAACAAACUUUCAGAUGAUGAUGGUACAGUGUGUUUAUAACACUAACAACUCACUUUUCUCCCCACACAUAGCAAUCGUAAAAAUAAAAACAGCCAGGCACAGUGGCUCAUGCCUAUA